RNAcentral lists this ribosomal RNA (432 nucleotides) under uncultured bacterium. RNAcentral describes it as "partial 16S ribosomal RNA". It matches the Rfam family "Bacterial small subunit ribosomal RNA", at positions 29 to 507 of the family's 1533-position model. The record is from RNAcentral.
AACGAACGCUGGCGGCAUGCUUAACACAUGCAAGUCGAACGAGACCUCCGGGUCUAGUGGCGCAGGGGUGCGUAACGCGUGGGAACCUGCCCGUAAGUUCGGAAUAACUCCCCGAAAGGGGUGUUAAUACCGGAUAAUGUCUUCGCACCAAGGAUUUCUGGCCUUUGGAUGGGCCCGCGUUGGAUUAGCUAGUUGGUAGGGUAAAAGCCUACCAAGGCGAUGAUCCAUAGCUGGUCUGAGAGGAUGAUCAGCGACACUGGGACUGGGACACGGCCCAGACGCCUGCGGGAGGCGGCAAUGGGGAAUAUUGGACAGGAGGCGAAAGCCUGAUCAGCAAUGCCGCGUGAGUGAUGAAGGCCUUAGGGUUGUAAAGCUCUUUUACCCGGGAUGAGAAUGACAGUACCGGGAGAAUAAGCACCGGCUAACUCCGUG